CGUAGGGUGCAAGCGUUAAUCGGAAUUACUGGGCGUAAAGAGUGCGCAGGCGGUUUUGUAAGUCUGUCGUGAAAGCCCCGGGCUCAACCUGGGAAUUGCGAUGGAGACUGCAAGGCUUGAAUCUGGCAGAGGGGGGUAGAAUUCCACGUGUAGCAGUGAAAUGCGUAGAGAUGUGGAGGAACACCGAUGGCGAAGGCAGCCCCCUGGGUCAAGAUUGACGCUCAUGCACGAAAGCGUGGGGAGCAAACAGG
RNAcentral lists this ribosomal RNA (251 nucleotides) under uncultured bacterium. RNAcentral describes it as "partial 16S ribosomal RNA". It matches the Rfam family "Bacterial small subunit ribosomal RNA", at positions 526 to 776 of the family's 1533-position model. The record is from RNAcentral.